Molecule: ribosomal RNA, 1446 nt
Filed under: uncultured bacterium
Lineage: Bacteria
Description: bacterial SSU rRNA
Rfam family: Bacterial small subunit ribosomal RNA
Source: RNAcentral
AUUGAACGCUGGCGGCAGGCUUAACACAUGCAAGUCGAGCGGGGACUUCGGUCCUAGCGGCGGACGGGUGAGUAAUACUUGGGAAUCUACCUAGUAGUGGGGGACAACGUUUCGAAAGGAACGCUAAUACCGCAUACGCCCUACGGGGGAAAGGGGGGGAUCUUCGGACCUCUCGCUAUUAGAUGAGCCCAUGUCGGAUUAGCUAGUUGGUGGGGUAAAGGCCUACCAAGGCGACGAUCCGUAGCUGGUCUGAGAGGAUGAUCAGCCACACUGGAACUGAGACACGGUCCAGACUCCUACGGGAGGCAGCAGUGGGGAAUAUUGGACAAUGGGCGAAAGCCUGAUCCAGCCAUGCCGCGUGUGUGAAGAAGGCCUUCGGGUUGUAAAGCACUUUAAGCGAGGAGGAAGGGUUCUUAAUUAAUACUUAAGAGCAUUGACGUUACUCGCAGAAUAAGCACCGGCUAACUCUGUGCCAGCAGCCGCGGUAAUACAGAGGGUGCAAGCGUUAAUCGGAAUUACUGGGCGUAAAGCGCGCGUAGGCGGUUGUAUAAGUUGGAUGUGAAAUCCCUGGGCUUAACCUAGCACUGCAUUCAAAACUGUACAGCUAGAGUGUAGGAGAGGAAGGUAGAAUUCCAGGUGUAGCGGUGAAAUGCGUAGAGAUCUGGAGGAAUACCGAUGGCGAAGGCAGCCUUCUGGCCUAACACUGACGCUGAGGUGCGAGAGCAUGGGGAGCAAACAGGAUUAGAUACCCUGGUAGUCCAUGCCGUAAACGAUGUCUACUAGCCGUUGGGGGACUUGAUCCUUUAGUGGCGCAGCUAACGCAUUAAGUAGACCGCCUGGGGAGUACGGUCGCAAGACUAAAACUCAAAUGAAUUGACGGGGGCCCGCACAAGCGGUGGAGCAUUUGGUUUAAUUCGAUGCAACGCGAAGAACCUUACCUGGCCUUGACAUGUCUGGAAUCCUGUAGAGAUACGGGAGUGCCUUCGGGAAUCAGAACACAGGUGCUGCAUGGCUGUCGUCAGCUCGUGUCGUGAGAUGUUGGGUUAAGUCCCGCAACGAGCGCAACCCUUGUCCUUAGUUGCCAGCACGUAAUGGUGGGAACUCUAGGGAGACUGCCGGUGACAAACCGGAGGAAGGCGGGGACGACGUCAAGUCAUCAUGGCCCUUACGGCCAGGGCUACACACGUGCUACAAUGGUCGGUACAGAGGGUUGCUAGCCCGCGAGGGUACGCUAAUCUCGCAAAGCCGAUCGUAGUCCGGAUUGGAGUCUGCAACUCGACUCCAUGAAGUCGGAAUCGCUAGUAAUCGCGGAUCAGAAUGCCGCGGUGAAUACGUUCCCGGGCCUUGUACACACCGCCCGUCACACCAUGGGAGUUUGUUGCACCAGAAGUAGUUAGCCUAACCGCAAGGGGGGCGAUUACCACGGUGUGGCCAAUGACUGGGGUG